Molecule: ribosomal RNA, 253 nt
Filed under: uncultured bacterium
Lineage: Bacteria
Description: partial 16S ribosomal RNA
Rfam family: Bacterial small subunit ribosomal RNA
Source: RNAcentral
UACAUGGGGUGCAAACGUUGCUCGGAAUCACUGGGCGUAAAGGGCGCGUAGGCGGGAUGGCAAGUCGGUCGUGAAAUCCCUCGGCUCAACUGAGGAGAGUCGGCCGAUACUGCUGUUCUUGAGGGAUGCAGAGGAGACUGGAAUUCCCGGUGUAGCGGUGGAAUGCGUAGAGAUCCGGAAGAACACCGGUGGCGAAGGCGGUCUGCUGGGCAGUAGCUGACACUGAGGCGCGACAGCGUGGGGAGCAAACAGG